This 479-nucleotide ribosomal RNA is filed under the name uncultured bacterium. RNAcentral's name for it is "partial 16S ribosomal RNA". It matches the Rfam family "Bacterial small subunit ribosomal RNA", at positions 355 to 844 of the family's 1533-position model. The record is from RNAcentral.
UGGGGAAUAUUGCACAAUGGGCGAAAGCCUGAUGCAGCGACGCCGCGUGCGGGAUGAAGGCCUUCGGGUUGUAAACCGCUUUUGAUUGGGAGCAAGCGAGAGUGAGUGUACCUUUCGAAUAAGCACCGGCUAACUACGUGCCAGCAGCCGCGGUAAUACGUAGGGUGCAAGCGUUAUCCGGAAUUAUUGGGCGUAAAGAGCUCGUAGGCGGUUUGUCGCGUCUGGUGUGAAAGUCCAUCGCUUAACGGUGGAUCUGCGCCGGGUACGGGCAGGCUAGAGUGCGACAGGGGAGACUGGAAUUCCCGGUGUAACGGUGGAAUGUGUAGAUAUCGGGAAGAACACCAAUGGCGAAGGCAGGUCUCUGGGUCGUCACUGACGCUGAGGAGCGAAAGCGUGGGGAGCGAACAGGAUUAGAUACCCUGGUAGUCCACGCCGUAAACGGUGGAUGCUGGAUGUGGGGCCCAUUCCACGGGUUCCGU